Non-coding RNA from Labrus bergylta (ballan wrasse), 270 nucleotides. Lineage: Eukaryota; Metazoa; Chordata; Actinopteri; Labriformes; Labridae. The record is from RefSeq and is a predicted model, not a curated record.
UCCGUGCAGGAAACAGGAAGUUUUUGUUGACCAGUUCAUGGACCAGAAUGCUGGCUGAGAUCACUGGACUGACUUGUAGCUGAGGAAUAUUACUUGUUGGAAAAAUAACAGUCACCAAUUUAUUGUUGAAACAUUGUGAUGGAAGAUUAUAAAGUAAUUGUAGUAGGUGAAAAUGUAUUUUUGAAUUUGUGCCUUUAGUUGUUGUAGCUUCCCAGUAAAAACAGUGUUUUGUUUAAACAUGAGAUUGUGUAAGGCAUGCAUGUUAUUGUU